Molecule: ribosomal RNA, 465 nt
Filed under: uncultured bacterium
Lineage: Bacteria
Description: partial 16S ribosomal RNA
Rfam family: Bacterial small subunit ribosomal RNA
Source: RNAcentral
GAUGAACGCUGGCGGCGUGCUUAACACAUGCAAGUCGAACGGAAAGGCUCCUGCUUGCAGGGGUACUCGAGUGGCGAACGGGUGAGUAACACGUGGGUGAUCUGCCCUGCACUUCGGGAUAAGCCUGGGAAACUGGGUCUAAUACCGGAUAGGACGAUGGUUUGGAUGCCAUUGUGGAAAGUUUUUCGGUGUGGGAUGAGCUCGCGGCCUAUCAGCCUGUUGGUGGGGUAAUGGCCUACCAAGGCGUCGACGGGUAGCCGGCCUGAGAGGGUGUACGGCCACAUUGGGACUGAGAUACGGCCCAGACUCCUACGGGAGGCAGCAGUGGGGAAAAUUGCACAAUGGGCGCAAGCCUGAUGCAGCGACGCCGCGUGGGGGAUGGCGGCCUUCGGGUUGUAAACGUCUUUCGCUAGGGACGAAGCGCAAGUGACGGUACCUGGAGAAGAAGCACCGGCUAACUACGUG